CAGCCGCCGCGGGAAUACGAAGGGCGCAAGCGUUACUCGGAAUUACUGGGCGUAAAGCGUGCGUAGGUGGUGGUUUAAGUCCGUUGUGAAAGCCCUGGGCUCAACCUGGGAAUUGCAGUGGAUACUGGGUCACUAGAGUGUGGUAGAGGAUAGUGGAAUUUCCGGUGUAGCAGUGAAAUGCGUAGAGAUCGGAAGGAACAUCUGUGGCGAAGGCGACUAUCUGGGCCAACACUGACACUGAGGCACGAAAGCGUGGGGAGCAAACAGGAUUAGAUACCCCGGUAGUCCCUGUCUCUUAUAC
RNAcentral lists this ribosomal RNA (301 nucleotides) under uncultured bacterium. Its description in RNAcentral is "partial 16S ribosomal RNA". It matches the Rfam family "Bacterial small subunit ribosomal RNA", at positions 509 to 807 of the family's 1533-position model. The record is from RNAcentral.